GUGCUCUUUUUGGCAGCACAUAUAUUAAAAUUGGAAUGAUGCAGAGAAGAUUAGCAUGGCCUCUGCACAAAGAUGACACAAAAUUCAUACAGCAUUCCAUAUUUUU
This is a small nuclear RNA of Choloepus hoffmanni (Hoffmann's two-fingered sloth), 106 nucleotides long. The record is from Ensembl. Lineage: Eukaryota; Metazoa; Chordata; Mammalia; Pilosa; Megalonychidae.